RNAcentral lists this ribosomal RNA (413 nucleotides) under uncultured bacterium. Its description in RNAcentral is "bacterial SSU rRNA". It matches the Rfam family "Bacterial small subunit ribosomal RNA", at positions 355 to 775 of the family's 1533-position model. The record is from RNAcentral.
UGGGGAAUAUUGCGCAAUGGGCGGAAGCCUGACGCAGCGACGCCGCGUGGGGGAUGACGGCCUUCGGGUUGUAAACCUCUUUCGACCUCGACGAAGCUUUUCGGAGUGACGGUAGGGGUGGAAGAAGCACCGGCCAACUACGUGCCAGCAGCCGCGGUAACACGUAGGGUGCGAGCGUUGUCCGGAAUUAUUGGGCGUAAAGAGCUCGUAGGCGGUGUGUCGCGUCGGCCGUGAAAACCUGCAGCUUAACUGUGGGCGUGCGGUCGAUACGGGCAUCACUGGAGUUCGGCAGGGGAGACUGGAAUUCCUGGUGUAGCGGUGAAAUGCGCAGAUAUCAGGAGGAACACCGGUGGCGAAGGCGGGUCUCUGGGCCGAUACUGACGCUGAGGAGCGAAAGCGUGGGGAGCGAACAG